Non-coding RNA from Staphylotrichum tortipilum, 86 nucleotides. Lineage: Eukaryota; Fungi; Ascomycota; Sordariomycetes; Sordariales; Chaetomiaceae. The record is from the annotation of a GenBank genome assembly.
GGCUGUCUGGUGUAUUGGUUAUCACGUCUCGUUCACAAAGUGAAUUUCUUCCGAGAAGGUACCAGGUUCGAUCCCUGGGAUGGUCA